This 1384-nucleotide ribosomal RNA is filed under the name Lactobacillus sp. RNAcentral describes it as "bacterial SSU rRNA". It matches the Rfam family "Bacterial small subunit ribosomal RNA", at positions 59 to 1411 of the family's 1533-position model. The record is from RNAcentral. Lineage: Bacteria; Bacillati; Bacillota; Bacilli; Lactobacillales; Lactobacillaceae.
CAGUCGACGACUCUGGUAUUGAUUGGUGCUUGCAUCAUGAUUUACAUUUGAGUGAGUGGCGAACUGGUGAGUAACACGUGGGAAACCUGCCCAGAAGCGGGGGAUAACACCUGGAAACAGAUGCUAAUACCGCAUAACAACUUGGACCGCAUGGUCCGAGUUUGAAAGAUGGCUUCGGCUAUCACUUUUGGAUGGUCCCGCGGCGUAUUAGCUAGAUGGUGGGGUAACGGCUCACCAUGGCAAUGAUACGUAGCCGACCUGAGAGGGUAAUCGGCCACAUUGGGACUGAGACACGGCCCAAACUCCUACGGGAGGCAGCAGUAGGGAAUCUUCCACAAUGGACGAAAGUCUGAUGGAGCAACGCCGCGUGAGUGAAGAAGGGUUUCGGCUCGUAAAACUCUGUUGUUAAAGAAGAACAUAUCUGAGAGUAACUGUUCAGGUAUUGACGGUAUUUAACCAGAAAGCCACGGCUAACUACGUGCCAGCAGCCGCGGUAAUACGUAGGUGGCAAGCGUUGUCCGGAUUUAUUGGGCGUAAAGCGAGCGCAGGCGGUUUUUUAAGUCUGAUGUGAAAGCCUUCGGCUCAACCGAAGAAGUGCAUCGGAAACUGGGAAACUUGAGUGCAGAAGAGGACAGUGGAACUCCAUGUGUAGCGGUGAAAUGCGUAGAUAUAUGGAAGAACACCAGUGGCGAAGGCGGCUGUCUGGUCUGUAACUGACGCUGAGGCUCGAAAGUAUGGGUAGCAAACAGGAUUAGAUACCCUGGUAGUCCAUACCGUAAACGAUGAAUGCUAAGUGUUGGAGGGUUUCCGCCCUUCAGUGCUGCAGCUAACGCAUUAAGCAUUCCGCCUGGGGAGUACGGCCGCAAGGCUGAAACUCAAAGGAAUUGACGGGGGCCCGCACAAGCGGUGGAGCAUGUGGUUUAAUUCGAAGCUACGCGAAGAACCUUACCAGGUCUUGACAUACUAUGCAAAUCUAAGAGAUUAGACGUUCCCUUCGGGGACAUGGAUACAGGUGGUGCAUGGUUGUCGUCAGCUCGUGUCGUGAGAUGUUGGGUUAAGUCCCGCAACGAGCGCAACCCUUAUUAUCAGUUGCCAGCAUUAAGUUGGGCACUCUGGUGAGACUGCCGGUGACAAACCGGAGGAAGGUGGGGAUGACGUCAAAUCAUCAUGCCCCUUAUGACCUGGGCUACACACGUGCUACAAUGGAUGGUACAACGAGUUGCGAACUCGCGAGAGUAAGCUAAUCUCUUAAAGCCAUUCUCAGUUCGGAUUGUAGGCUGCAACUCGCCUACAUGAAGUCGGAAUCGCUAGUAAUCGCGGAUCAGCAUGCCGCGGUGAAUACGUUCCCGGGCCUUGUACACACCGCCCGUCACACCAUGAGAGU